This 445-nucleotide ribosomal RNA is filed under the name uncultured Acholeplasma sp. RNAcentral describes it as "bacterial SSU rRNA". It matches the Rfam family "Bacterial small subunit ribosomal RNA", at positions 356 to 794 of the family's 1533-position model. Lineage: Bacteria; Bacillati; Mycoplasmatota; Mollicutes; Acholeplasmatales; Acholeplasmataceae. The record is from RNAcentral.
UAGGGAAUUUCGGCAAUGGGGGAAACCCUGACCGAGCAACGCCGCGUGAGUGAAGAAGUAUUUCGGUAUGUAAAAUUCUUUUAUUAGGGACGAACGGUGCUAUUAGGAAAUGAAUAGUAAGUGACGGUACCUAAUGAAUAAGCCCCGGCUAACUACGUGCCAGCAGCCGCGGUAAUACGUAGGGGGCAAGCGUUAUCCGGAUUUAUUGGGCGUAAAGGGUGCGUAGGCGGUAAUUUAAGUCUGAGGUUAAAGUGCGGGGCUCAACCCCGUGAUGCUUCGGAUACUGGAUUACUUGAGUUUGGUAGAGGUAAGUGGAAUUCCAUGUGUAGCGGUAAAAUGCGUAAAUAUAUGGAGGAACACCAGUGGCGAAGGCGGCUUACUGGACCACAACUGACGCUGAGGCACGAAAGCGUGGGGAGCAAACAGGAUUAGAUACCCUGGUAGU